Molecule: long non-coding RNA, 242 nt
Organism: Eurytemora carolleeae
Lineage: Eukaryota; Metazoa; Arthropoda; Copepoda; Calanoida; Temoridae
Exons: 2
Source: RefSeq, a predicted model, not a curated record
CGCUGACUCCAGUGGAUAACUAAACCAGUGAACACAGUUGGAAAGACGAGUAAAGCAACAUUCUUUCUGAGUCCAGAUUCAAGGUACUAGAAUAGUAGUGGGACAGCUCAACUGUAUGAUAUACACGGAGCAACUGGAGUCCUAAACGAAUGCAGGAUCACACCUAGCACUAUCCUAACAAUAAACCAAACCUUGGUGACAUGCAUAUUAGCAUUUUUCAGAAUAAAUUUUAAUCCUUGUUU